Molecule: RNA transcript, 1073 nt
Organism: Phacochoerus africanus (Common warthog)
Lineage: Eukaryota; Metazoa; Chordata; Mammalia; Artiodactyla; Suidae
Gene name: cuticle collagen 13-like
Exons: 3
Source: RefSeq, a predicted model, not a curated record
CCCCCAGCCUUGGGGCUCCCUGUUUGACACACUCAACUGGGGGCAACAGAACAAAUUCCAAGGCAAAGUUUCGAGAACGAUGAUUCAGAGGCUCGCAGAGGACAUUUAUGGAGCUGGGUACACACACACUGCCCCUAAGAUAUUCCCAUGACUUGACCUGGCUUCGUCUGAGGCUAUGGCACCAGCUAGAGACAGGCCAGGUAAGUGGGCUGCUGCCCCCCAUCUCCUUGCUGGGGAUCUUACCUGGGAUCCCUCCUCCUGCUGCUGGGAGCACAGGGGUGGGCCAGAAGCCCCCGAACUUGUACGGAAAUCGCUGCGUGAGUGCUGAGUCCCUCCCCACUUGUGACAGUCCAUUUCUAUGAAUGACACAUACCAGUUGAUAAAAGUUGAAAUCUCCUCCCUCCCUGCUCCAACGCUGACCCCGCUCCAAACCUGGCCUUGUGCAUCAGGACCUUGAGGGUGUAGGGGUCUCCUGCCCUGAGUGAGACCAGCUGUGCACCUGCCCCUUACUAGACAGUGAAUUCCCAAAAUGUGGUCCCUCCCUGGGGCCAACACAGGGCCCCGGGCUCUUCAUGGACCUCAGAGGUUAGCUGGUUGCCUGAAGGAAGGCUGGUGACUGCCGAGCUGCCAGGGCCUUCCUUCCCAGGCAACCCCCCCCCCCCCAGCCCCCGCCGGCCCGGGGACACUGCCCGCAGUUCCCACUUCGGGAAAUGCCAAGCGCGCGGCGCCGCCGGGACAGCUCAGCAGCCCCGCAGCCCCUCCGUCCACGCCCGGCUCCUCCUCCUCCUCCUCCUCCUCCUCCUUCCCCGGGGGUGGGGGGAGCCGGCUCCGGAAGCCCCGGCGCCCCCGCCCGGGCCGCCACUGGCGCUUUGGAGAAGGCGGUUCGGGCGCCACGCGGGACCUGAGCUCCCAGCCGCCGCCAGCUCCUUAGGAACCCCCUGACCCCUUCGGAACCCCCACCGACUCCUGAGCCACUGCCCGGCCCGGAGCUAGCUCCCCGCGCCCCACCCCGGAGUCCCCUGCUACCCCAGAUCUCCCCCUCCGCCCCCACCCCUCCCAAGAGCCCACCCCAU